Molecule: ribosomal RNA, 447 nt
Filed under: uncultured bacterium
Lineage: Bacteria
Description: bacterial SSU rRNA
Rfam family: Bacterial small subunit ribosomal RNA
Source: RNAcentral
UCCCAGACUCCUACGGGAGGCAGCAGUGGGGAAUAUUGCACAAUGGGGGGAACCCUGAUGCAGCGACGCCGCGUGGGUGAAGGAGCACCUCGGUGCGUAAAGCCCUAUCAGCAGGGAAGGAGAUGACGGUACCUGACUAAGAAGCCCCGGCUAACUACGUGCCAGCAGCCGCGGUAAUACGUAGGGGGCAAGCGUUAUCCGGAUUUACUGGGUGUAAAGGGGGCGUAGACGGCGAUGCAAGCCAGAUGUGAAAGCCCGGGGCUCAACCCCGGGACUGCAUUUGGAACUGUGUGGCUGGAGUGUCGGAGAGGCAGGCGGAAUUCCUAGUGUAGCGGUGAAAUGCGUAGAUAUUAGGAGGAACACCAGUGGCGAAGGCGGCCUGCUGGACGAUGACUGACGUUGAGGCUCGAAAGCGUGGGGAGCAAACAGGAUUAGAUACCCUUGUAA